AGGGGCGGGGGAAGGGAGUCCUGGUCAAUAACCCCGGAGCGCCGCAGGUGGGAGGUGCGGGCGGGUGCCCGAGCGCCUGACGGCCCCUACGCGCCCAGCAGCCUCCACCUGCCCAGUGAUCAUGAUAGUGUUUGUCAGGUUCAACUCCAGCCAUGGUUUCCCAGUGGAGGUGGAUUCCGACACGAGCAUCUUCCAGCUCAAGGAGGUGGUUGCUAAGCGACAGGGGGUUCCAGCUGACCAGUUGCGCGUGAUUUUCGCGGGGAAGGAGCUUCGGGAUGACUUGACAGUGCAGAGCUGUGACCUGGAUCAGCAGAGCAUCGUUCACAUUGUGCUGAGACCCCAGAGGCCAGUCCAAGAAAGGAGCACAGCUGGCAGGGACGGCCGGCGCCGACUUGGGGAGGGCUCUGGGAGGGAGCCUGGGAGCCUGACCCGCGUGGACCUCAGCAGCUCUGUCCUCCCGGCCGACUCGGUGGGCCUGGCUGUCAUCCUGCAUAGGGACGGCGAGGACGCCCAGCCAGCUGCAAAGCCAGCAGGCAGACCAACCUACAACAGCUUUUAUGUUUAUUGCAAAGGCCCCUGUCAAAGUGUGCAGCCAGGAAAACUCAGGGUGCAGUGUAGCACCUGCCAGCAAGCAACACUCACCUUGGCCCAGGUAAGGAAAGGCAGCAUCGGCAGAGACUGCCCAGAGAAGGUCCUUCUUGCUGGGAAGAUGUCUUAACCCCAAACCGGAUGAGCGGUGAAUGCCAAUCCCCAAACUGCCCCGGGACGAGAGCAGAAUUUUUCUUUAAAUGUGGAGCCCACCCGACCUCUGAAAAGGAAACAUCAGUAGCUUUGAACCUGAUCACAGCCAAUAGUCGAGACAUCAGCUGCAUAACAUGUACAGACGUCAGG
Manis javanica (Malayan pangolin) is the source of this 891-nucleotide non-coding RNA. NCBI's taxonomy places the organism in Eukaryota, Metazoa, Chordata, Mammalia, Pholidota, Manidae. The record is from RefSeq and is a predicted model, not a curated record.